AUGACCUUGGCUCCUGUCUCAGUGCUUAUGAUACUUUUUUCCCUGGGAGGAACCAGAGCCCAGUCGGUGACCCAGCCUGAUGCCCACGUCACUGUCUCUGAAGAAGCUGCUUUGGAGCUGAGGUGCAACUACUCAUCUGUUGUUCAACCGUAUCUCUACUGGUACGUGCAGUAUCCCAACCAAGGCCUCCAGCUUCUCCUCCAGUACUUUUCAGGGGACACUCUGGUUAAAGGCAUCAAAGGUUUCGAGGCUGAAUUUAGGAAGACUGAAACCUCCUUCCACCUGAGGAAACCCUCAGCCCGUGGGGGCGACGCGGCCAAGUACUUCUGUGCUGUGAGUGACACAGUGCCUGGGACUGCAGGGGGAGCUGAACACUAA
This is a non-coding RNA of Neomonachus schauinslandi (Hawaiian monk seal), 378 nucleotides long. Lineage: Eukaryota; Metazoa; Chordata; Mammalia; Carnivora; Phocidae. The record is from the annotation of a RefSeq genome assembly.